Molecule: ribosomal RNA, 492 nt
Filed under: uncultured bacterium
Lineage: Bacteria
Description: partial 16S ribosomal RNA
Rfam family: Bacterial small subunit ribosomal RNA
Source: RNAcentral
AGUGAACGCUGGCGGUAGGCCUAACACAUGCAAGUCGAACGGCAGCACAGUAAGAGCUUGCUCUUACGGGUGUCGAGUGGCGGACGGGUGAGGAAUACAUCGGAAUCUACUUUUUCGUGGGGGAUAACGUAGGGAAACUUACGCUAAUACCGCAUACGACCUACGGGUGAAAGCAGGGGAUCUUCGGACCUUGCGCGAUUGAAUGAGCCGAUGUCGGAUUAGCUAGUUGGCGGGGUAAAGGCCCACCUAGGCGACGAUCCGUAGCUGGUCUGAGAGGAUGAUCAGACACACUGGCACUGAGACACGGUCCAGACUCCUACGGGAGGCAGCAGUGGGGAAUAUUGGACAAGGGGCGCAAGCCUGAUCCAGCCAUACCGCGUGGGUGAAGAAGGCCUUCGGCUUGUAAAGCCAUUUUGUUGGGAAAGAAAAGCAGCAGGUUAAUACCCCGCUGUUCUGACGGUACCCAAAGAAUAAGCACCGGCUAACUUCGUG